UGGGGAAUAUUGCACAAUGGGCGAAAGCCUGAUGCAGCUAUGCCGCGUGUAUGAAGAAGGCCUUAGGGUUGUAAAGUACUUUCAGCAGGGAAGAAGUAGAAUAAAGAUAACAUCUUUUUCUUUUGACGUUACCUGAAGAAGAAGCACCGGCUAACUCCGUGCCAGCAGCCGCGGUAAUACGGAGGGUGCUAGCGUUAAUCAGAAUUACUGGGCGUAAAGAGCUCGUAGGUGGUUUAUUAAGUCAGAUGUGAAAUCCCUAGGCUUAACCUAGGAACUGCAUUUGAAACUAGUUUACUAGAGUAUCGUAGAGGGAGGUAGAAUUCUAGGUGUAGCGGUGAAAUGCGUAGAUAUCUGGAGGAAUACCAGUGGCGAAAGCGACCUCCUAAACGAAUACUGACACUGAGGUGCGAAAGCGUGGGGAGCAAACAGG
Molecule: ribosomal RNA, 430 nt
Filed under: uncultured Buchnera sp.
Lineage: Bacteria; Pseudomonadati; Pseudomonadota; Gammaproteobacteria; Enterobacterales; Erwiniaceae
Description: bacterial SSU rRNA
Rfam family: Bacterial small subunit ribosomal RNA
Source: RNAcentral